GACGAACGCUGGCGGCGUGCCUAAUACAUGCAAGUUGAGCGCUGAAGGUUGGUACUUGUACCAACUGGAUGAGCAGCGAACGGGUGAGUAACGCGUGGGGAAUCUGCCUUUGAGCGGGGGACAACAUUUGGAAACGAAUGCUAAUACCGCAUAAAAACUUUAAACACAAGUUUUAAGUUUGAAAGAUGCAAUUGCAUCACUCAAAGAUGAUCCCGCGUUGUAUUAGCUAGUUGGUGAGGUAAAGGCUCACCAAGGCGAUGAUACAUAGCCGACCUGAGAGGGUGAUCGGCCACAUUGGGACUGAGACACGGCCCAAACUCCUACGGGAGGCAGCAGUAGGGAAUCUUCGGCAAUGGACGAAAGUCUGACCGAGCAACGCCGCGUGAGUGAAGAAGGUUUUCGGAUCGUAAAAAUCUGUUGGUAGAGAAGAACGUUGGUGAGAGUGGAAAGCUCAUCAAGUGACGGAAACUACCCAGAAAGGGACGGCUAACUACGUG
This 497-nucleotide ribosomal RNA is filed under the name uncultured bacterium. RNAcentral's name for it is "partial 16S ribosomal RNA". It matches the Rfam family "Bacterial small subunit ribosomal RNA", at positions 28 to 507 of the family's 1533-position model. The record is from RNAcentral.